Molecule: long non-coding RNA, 241 nt
Filed under: Elaeis guineensis (African oil palm)
Lineage: Eukaryota; Viridiplantae; Streptophyta; Magnoliopsida; Arecales; Arecaceae
Description: long non-coding RNA (EGUI_LNC037424)
Source: RNAcentral
GGGAGAAACUCUCUGUGCACCGCGCAUGUUGCGCGAAUGCAUGUAUUGCAUGUAGUGAUUGGCUCACAUAGAAAAAAAAAUAUAUUUUUUUUUGCCGCUCUGCUGCCCAGCUUUGCAUGUGAGCCAAUCACCGCAUGCAAUGCGCAAAAAAUUCCUAAUAGAGUGGGAUCAAUAGGAGGUUCAUGAUUGUCCAGCACACUGUAUUGCCUAUUGAACCAUCAAAGAGGUGACACAUAUUAGA